GCAGUGGUGGCUCAGUGGUAGAAUGCUCUCUUUCCACGUGGGAGACCCAGGUCUGAUUCCCGGCCAGUGCA
This 71-nucleotide transfer RNA is filed under the name Loxodonta africana (African savanna elephant). It matches the Rfam family "tRNA". Rfam says of the family: Transfer RNA (tRNA) molecules are approximately 80 nucleotides in length. Their secondary structure includes four short double-helical elements and three loops (D, anti-codon, and T loops). Further hydrogen bonds mediate the characteristic L-shaped molecular structure. tRNAs have two regions of fundamental functional importance: the anti-codon, which is responsible for specific mRNA codon recognition, and the 3' end, to which the tRNAs corresponding amino acid is attached (by aminoacyl-tRNA synthetases). tRNAs cope with the degeneracy of the genetic code in two manners: having more than one tRNA (with a specific anti-codon) for a particular amino acid; and 'wobble' base-pairing, i.e. permitting non-standard base-pairing at the 3rd anti-codon position. Lineage: Eukaryota; Metazoa; Chordata; Mammalia; Proboscidea; Elephantidae. The record is from Rfam by way of RNAcentral.